CCUACGGGGGGCAGCAGUGGGGAAUCUUAGACAAUGGGGGAAACCCUGAUCUAGCCAUGCCGCGUGAUCGAUGAAGGCCUUAGGGUUGUAAAGAUCUUUCAGUGGGGAAGAUAAUGACGGUACCCACAGAAGAAGCCCCGGCUAACUCCGUGCCAGCAGCCGCGGUAAUACGGAGGGGGCUAGCGUUGUUCGGAAUUACUGGGCGUAAAGCGCACGUAGGCGGACCGGAAAGUCAGAGGUGAAAUCCCAGGGCUCAACCUUGGAACUGCCUUUGAAACUCCUGGUCUUGAGGUCGAGAGAGGUGAGUGGAAUUCCGAGUGUAGAGGUGAAAUUCGUAGAUAUUCGGAGGAACACCAGUGGCGAAGGCGGCUCACUGGCUCGAUACUGACGCUGAGGUGCGAAAGCGUGGGGAGCAAACAGGAUUAGAUACCCCAGUAGUC
This 440-nucleotide ribosomal RNA is filed under the name uncultured bacterium. RNAcentral describes it as "bacterial SSU rRNA". It matches the Rfam family "Bacterial small subunit ribosomal RNA", at positions 338 to 795 of the family's 1533-position model. The record is from RNAcentral.